GAUGAACGCUGGCGGCGUGCCUAAUACAUGCAAGUCGAACGAGGUGCUUGAGUAGCAAUACGAGAGUAUCCUAGUGGCGAACGGGUGAGUAACGCGUUGGUGACCUACCCCAAAGUGUGGGAUAACAGUCCGAAAGGAUUGCUAAUACCGCAUGUGGUCUUCGGGUUUAGAAACCGAUGACGAAAGCAGCAAUGCGCUUUGGGAGGGACCUGCGUCCCAUCAGCAGUUGGUGAGGUAACGGCUCACCAAGGCGACGACGGGUA
RNAcentral lists this ribosomal RNA (263 nucleotides) under uncultured bacterium. Its description in RNAcentral is "partial 16S ribosomal RNA". It matches the Rfam family "Bacterial small subunit ribosomal RNA", at positions 28 to 285 of the family's 1533-position model. The record is from RNAcentral.